CUCGACAGCGGCGACGCUAGGCGCCAUUUCCUCUCCUGAGAGUGUUGUCUUGGAGCUUAGGUAUCUUAGGGCAUUUUGCUUCAGCCGGCGGACGAGAAGAAAGGGGCGGGGCGGCUCACUUUGAUUCUGGCCUGCGGGAUUGCAUCGGGGAAGAUGGAAUGGAGUUCGUCAUCGUCAUCUUCGUUGGAUGAUUCCGGCAUAGAGGAGAUGAUUUUAUAUCACGAUGUCGACAACCUUGUGUUGUUGCAAUCCGUGGACAAAUUUGAAAGGGGCCCGAAGAGAAAGUGCCACAGAUCCACGGUUGGUCGGCUAUGCAUUCCGUGCAACCGAGCUCUCAGCGACAAAAUGCUCAUGAAGGACUACUUCGCCGAGGUACCGACAUAUCCGGCGCACCUUUUCCGUAGGUGAUAUCGAAUGCGUAGGCCGCUUUUUGUUCACAUGGUUGAAGCUUGCGAGCAAUACACCGGCCACAAACAUAAACCUACUAGUGUGCUUGAAAUCGUGGCACAAGAGGCAAGCCAAAAGGAUAUUGAGAGGGCAUUUGGCGUGUUGCAAGCUCAGUUUGCCAUUGUUUGAGGUCCUGCUCGCUUUUGGUAUAAGAAAUCCCUCGGAAAUAUUAUGACUGCAUGUGUAAUUUUAUAAAACAUUAUCAUCGAGGAUGAGAGGGAUUUGCAUUUAGAGUUUUAUUAUGAUAAUGUUGGUAGCCGCGUGAAGCCUGCCGGAGACGCAGAUGAGAUCACUGCAGUUCUUGACACCUACCGGAAGUUUGAGAACAGUGGUUUGCACUACCAGCUCCGUGAUGAUCUUAUUGAGCAUCAAUGGCAACUCUAUGGGAGAUAGAUUCCCAUUUUUAUUUGAUAAAUUCCAUAUGUGUUUUUUUUAUGAUUUUGGAUACUUUGUUGUUGUAGUAGUUAUUCGAAUUUGAACGUUUGUUGUAAUGAAGGCGGUUGUUGUAUUGCCAAUUGUUUUUGGACCAUUUAUAUUCAUAUGUUUAAUUUA
Long non-coding RNA from Triticum dicoccoides, 999 nucleotides. RefSeq lists it as uncharacterized. The record is from RefSeq and is a predicted model, not a curated record. NCBI's taxonomy places the organism in Eukaryota, Viridiplantae, Streptophyta, Magnoliopsida, Poales, Poaceae. The transcript has 2 exons.